This 500-nucleotide ribosomal RNA is filed under the name uncultured bacterium. Its description in RNAcentral is "partial 16S ribosomal RNA". It matches the Rfam family "Bacterial small subunit ribosomal RNA", at positions 28 to 523 of the family's 1533-position model. The record is from RNAcentral.
GUUGAACGCUGGCGGCAUGCCUUACACAUGCAAGUCGAACGGCAGCACGGAGCUUGCUCUGGUGGCGAGUGGCGAACGGGUGAGUAAUAUAUCGGAACGUACCCAAGAGUGGGGGAUAACGUAGCGAAAGUUACGCUAAUACCGCAUACGAUCUAAGGAUGAAAGCAGGGGCUCGCAAGACCUUGUGCUCCUGGAGCGGCCGAUAUCUGAUUAGCUAGUUGGUGAGGUAGAGGAUCACCAAGGCAUCGAUCAGUAGCUGGUCUGAGAGGACGACCAGCCACACUGGAACUGAGACACGGUCCAGACUCCUACGGGAGGCAGCAGGGGGGAAUUUUGGACAAUGGGGGCAACCCUGAUCCAGCAAUGCCGCGUGAGUGAAGAAGGCCUUCGGGUUGUAAAGCUCUUUUGUCAGGGAAGAAACGGUCGUGGCUAAUAUCCAUGGCUAAUGACGGUACCCGAAGAAUAAGCACCGGCUAACUACGUGCCAGCAGCCGCCGUAA